CGUUAAGCUUCUUUACCUGUUUAUUGCACUAAACACCAUUCUUACAUGAUGAAUUAAAGCUUUCAUGGGCUAUUGUUGCCUUUAACAAAUAGAACAUAAAUAAAAACGUAAACAUGUAGGAAGAGUAUAAUACAUUUUAGUGCCUAUUAUUUGAGUCUAUACUAAAUCCACAAAGUAGGAGAACUUAGCUGAUGUGACUGACUGCAGCCAGGACUAAUCUAAUGAGAAAUCACAUUUGAGAAUACUCAGGCUGUGCUAUUCUUGGUGUUUACCCAUAUUAGCAAAAAAAAAGAGGUGACGCCAUGUUACAAAACACAGCCUUUUUAUUGUAAUCAUACACAUAUGUAAUUAUAUAUGUUUAAAGAUAGCAAGUUGUGUUGUUCCCAAUGUGGUUCGGCCUUGUAGUGUGACACUUGCCGCAACAUGUGCAUGGCAUUCAAUUUUCCAUCCUUUUAAAACUUUUUUUCUGGAAAGUUGAUACUAAUAUAGACAUAUUUCUCUGUGUUAUUACUCAUUAUAUUUCAUGAAGUUGCACCGAUGUCAUCAACCUUCAUUGCACAGUACCUGAUAAUUCAGUUCUCUAUCUCUUGCAGACAUAGAUUAAUGCUAGAACCGUGAUAGGUUUCUGCAUAACAGUGCACAGGAAUAAAUCGUUAGCUGAAACGCCACCAAAUUGGGAAUAAAAACUGUUUCAAAUCCAUGAUACCCUCACCAUUCUGACAGUGACUGGAUUUAAGUCGGUCAAUCGGUAAUAAAAAAUAAAAAAAUCUAAUGUGGUAAAUUUUCACUCAUAUUCUCUUCCAUGUGUGUCAGCUGGAAUAUGAUUCUGUGUUGUUUUUUUUUUUUAUUUCCCCUGCUCCGUACAUGACAGUGAACAAGGCUGCAAGGUUGCAUUAACGAACGUUAGGUCUUUGAAGUACUUCCCAGCAGUUCCCAGAAAGAGACAUUUAGCUGUUGUGUUUUCAUGUAGGGAAAUAUAACAACUGAAAGAUGAAGUUAUAUGUUGUAAAGCUAUCUCUCAAGUAAAUAAGCAUUAUACGUUCAUUUAUACUAUUUAAAUAAGCGCUAUACUCAAUAACAGAACGAUUUAAUAACAGUAUGAGACUGUGUACCCUUUAAUCAGCAGCCCCACUUAUUAUCUGAACUGGGGGCCUGCCAAAAGAAGGAACGAUUUGCACUCAACAGGUAAACACUAGACUUUUAAUUUUCAAUGAAGGUUAAGUCUCCUGUUCAUCACUGUUGAGGAUCAGUCCUCAUUCCGUUUGCCUUUCACACUAAUGCAGCUAUUCCUACACUCAUACGUAUGAUCCAUAAGGUCUGGAAAAACUCCCAGGAGUCAAAUGUAUUUACUGCUGUCUUCUGUAUCAUUAAGGAUAUUAUAUAGGACUCUAGGAUCGUGUUCCAUCCAUAGAGAGUGUUGGCACCUUGGCCAUGUUUUCCCAGAUAGCUAAAAAUUCCACAUGCUCUUGGUAUGUACAUGAGUAGUGCUCGUCAGCAAUAUGAAUAGCUAUCAAUUUCUAAAGGGAAAAUCAGUUCCAAAGGGAUUUCAACUAAGAUUAAAUUAAUUUCUACAUCUGAAUUCUACAUAUUAGCUAAGGCCCACAAUAAUUUUUCAAAACCUACCAUGGACAUCAUAGACCAAAUGGUCUUUAACCAAUCAUAUACACCUCAUCAGGGGAGGAUUAUGCAAAAAAGGGCUUUAGCAGCACACACAUAAAGUAUGCACAAUGCAAUAACAAGAUGCCUCACAAUACCUGUUUUAGUCUUAUUCAUAUCCUUAACUAAACUAGCCAGCAUACAAGCCAUAGAGGACUGCAGUUAAGAUAGAUUGUUUCUCCAGAAUGCGUGAAUAAAACCUACCAAAUGCCUCCUUUUCUCUUUCUUAAUAAACAAUUUCUGUCUUGGUUAUGACUGGGCUGAGACUUCCAUCAGAACAUUAUGGUUUUUGAAAUUUGUCAGAAAAACGGGCCUGCCCCGAUGAAAUCAGAAUGGUUGGAAUGCAUGCCUUUGGUAUCCCACUCUUUGCUAAAUGCAAGUAUUACAACCCAUUAAAACUGACGUCUCAAACUCCAGACCCUAGAUCAGGGAUAGGCAACCACGGCACUCCAGAUGUUGUGGACUACAUCCCCCAUAAUGCUCUUAUACCCAUAAUGCUGGCAAAGCCUCAUGGGAGGUGUAGUCCAAAACAUCUGGAGUGCCAAAGGUUGCCUAUGCCUGCCCUAGAUGCUGCUGAAGAACAACUCCCAUGAUUCCCUGGGCAUCUAUUGCAUUCCGUUCAUCUAUUGCAUUCUCUGGAACUUGUAGGCCAUCAACGUCUACUGGACCAGAAUUUGAGAUCCCUACAUCAGACCUUACCUAUUUCAUAUCAACAAAUUUCUGUGCUGUAAUACUGGACUAAAUCACAAUUUCACCAAAUAUUUAGAAACAUGUGGAAAAAAGUAACUUUUCAUGGUAGGUUCUGUUUAACAUCCCAUGGCGGAUUCUCUUUUAUUACACUUUGCUAAACUUGCAGUAUUUUUGUGAAGUCCAUUUAUUUUUUCUUUGCAUUUUUUUUUGUGCACUUGGUAUUUUUUUUAAACCUAAGGUGCUAUAGCAAUAUUUCACUGUCCCUGCUUAACCUAUUCAGGUGAGAAUCCUACAGCAGAAAAGCACUGCGUGUCAGGGGAAAUUAAAGGAAAAUAAAUAGUCUUAUUUACAUUUCAAGUAAGAGUUUGCAUUUUUUGUGAAUGCUCAUCCUCCAGGGAGAGCCUGAUUGGAAAGCAGAAGCCAUCAAACCUACACGCACAAUUGAACUGAUGGAUAUAACACAUUUUUGAUGGAAUAUUUAUUGAAACCAUAUUUUGCAGUCAGCUUCCUGGCAAAUAGCCAUGAGCAUGUUUUCCAUCUCUGACAGGGAGACCAAUAAAUAGCUUUCCUCAACCUAAAAUCAAUUUUGAACUGUGUUUACCGCAUUUCUUAAGCAACUGCAUGAAUCAAAGUAAAGGAUUUUAUUCACUGAAUGUAUCGUGGUGACUUGACAGAUUUGAAACAUUUUGACUUAAAUUUCUAUUAGCAGAUCCAAAAUGGAACCUUACAUGAAACAUAGGCUUAGUACAAUCUUACUGAUAAAUGACAACCAGAAGAUUGUACUAAGCCUAUGUUCAAGGCCAGCAGCUGAUCACUUUCAGCCAGAGCUAAACUUUGCACGGCUAGGUUUAGCGCAAUGCAAAGAGCUUCUAAUACUCAUAAAGGGGUUGACUGUUGCCCGUUGAACCCUAGGUAAGUUGUACAUUGAGGGUGGGGGGCACUCUUGGCACCAUAACCACUAAAGCAGGCAGUAGAGGUUAUUGUGCUCGGAGUGUUUAUUUAGCAUCACCCAAUGCUACCUGUUGGGAAAGGGUUGGACCUAGAGACCUGCCCAUCAGUUGUUAGACUCCAGCGUUUACAGCUAUUAUUUUCUCUGUUAAGAUUGGAAUUGGAGUGCAGAUGAUUAGAAUAAUGUAAACAUGCUCAGAUUAUUAUAAAAAAGUUAGCAUAGCAUUUUCUAGUUAAGCAUUUGUCUCUAUGGAUUCCAUGCAAAUCUGAAUGUUUUUUACUGGCAGGAUCCCUUCUCUGUUUCCAUAGCAAAGCAGUCUUGGUUCAUAGAUAGAGGGAUGCAAUGUAUCCUAAAAAGUACCAGUAACAUGUUUACCAAGAUUUAUUAUUUAUAUAGCAUUUAUAUAGCACCAGGAUAUUUUACAGAACUUUACAACAGUUUACAAAUAGCCAUUGUUUCUACAAAGUAAGCAAAAUUAAUUUUUGUGCAAUAAAAUUGGCACUUUAACGAAAAGGUCUGUUUUAAGCAUUUAAAGACUUACUAUAAAUCAUAGAGGUGUAGGCCUAAAAACGGUGGUUUCUAACACAGUCCCCAUGGCUUGAAAUGGUCCAGGGUUUAUCAUUAUACCUUCUGGAACAGAAAAAGGGAAUUACAAAAUCCAACACAAGAACUGGUCUAGGAAACAUUGCUGUAACUUGUGAGAUGUUGAGAUGCCUUAAGGUUCUUUGUACUAAAACCUUUAACGUCUGCCUCACUUUUGUAUAUAUAGACUCUGUAGAAUAUCAUAGAGGACUGGAAAGGUUUCUCUUAUUGAGAGAAAUUCUACCAUAGUCACAUUUUAGUAUAUACCCCAGACUGCCUGUCAGAGGAUUAAAGACAGUAAUCUUUAAAGAAUUUUCCACAUUUAUAGGCACUUAGAGAUAAUAUUCUCCUUCACAUUUCUAAUUUCUUAGCUUUGGCUCAUUUCCAGUAAUAACAGAUUAAGUGGCAGAGCACAUCUUCAGAGUCUCUCUCUCUAGAAAUGACAUUAUUGGUAAAGUAAAGAGUGCAAAGUGCUAGGAAAUAACAAAUAAAAUAACAGUUCUUAUAAAGUUACCAUGGAGUAAUGGGAUAUGUGUGUGUCACUGAAAUGUAAAAACAAAGGAAAACAGAAGGAAAGAAGCAAUUAAUUCAGAUGUAUAACUUGGUUGCUUGUUACUAAAACUGAAAUAUACCAAUGUGCAAAAACAUCACAAUAUCCAGAGAAAUAUAUACAAGGGACAUUCAGUAUAUUCUAUUUUUGAGGAACACCAGUUGGUAUCCAUAGUCUGUCUUUUUUUAAUUUGUUCUGUAUU
Pelobates cultripes (western spadefoot toad) is the source of this 4629-nucleotide non-coding RNA. Lineage: Eukaryota; Metazoa; Chordata; Amphibia; Anura; Pelobatidae. The record is from the annotation of a GenBank genome assembly.